UUUUUUAGACCGCCUGUUUAUCAAAAACAUGUCCUAUUGUAUUUUUUAAUAGGUCUGGCCUGCCCAGUGAUAAUUUCAACGGCCGCGGUAUAUUGACCGUGCAAAGGUAGCAUAAUCAUUAGUCUUUUAAUAGGAGGCUGGAAUGAAAGUUUUAACGAGAAAUAGACUGUCUCAAUUGCAAUCUUGAAUUUAUCUUUUGAGUCAAAAGACUUAAAUUUAAUUGGUGGACGAGAAGACCCUAUAGAGCUUGACAAUUAUUUUUUUUAUAUUUAUUUAGUAAAUUAUUUAUUUAUAUUAAAAAUAUUGUUUUGUUGGGGUGACAAUAAAUAUAUAUUUAACUUUUAUUAUAAUAUUAACAUUAAGUUAUGAUUUUUGGAUCCAAAAUUUUUGAUCAAUAGAUUAAGUUACCUUAGGGAUAACAGCGUAAUCUUCCCUCAGAGUUCAUAUUUACGGGAAGGGUUGCGACCUCGAUGUUGGAUUAAGAUAAUAAUUAGGUGCAGUAGCUUAAUUAAUAGGUCUGUUCGACCCAUAAAUCCUACAUGAUCGUUUUGUC
Molecule: ribosomal RNA, 553 nt
Filed under: Ischnura senegalensis
Lineage: Eukaryota; Metazoa; Arthropoda; Insecta; Odonata; Coenagrionidae
Description: partial large subunit ribosomal RNA
Rfam family: Bacterial large subunit ribosomal RNA
Source: RNAcentral